Molecule: non-coding RNA, 130 nt
Organism: Hordeum vulgare subsp. vulgare (domesticated barley)
Lineage: Eukaryota; Viridiplantae; Streptophyta; Magnoliopsida; Poales; Poaceae
Source: Rfam
AUUAUACUCCCUUCAUCCUGAAUUAUUUGUCGCAGAAAUGGAUAAAAAUAGAUGUAUUUAGAACUAAUUAAAAAUACUUUUGAAUACAUCCAUUUAAGCGACAAGUAAUUCGGGAAGGAGGGAGUUCUAU